RNAcentral lists this ribosomal RNA (272 nucleotides) under uncultured prokaryote. RNAcentral's name for it is "partial 16S ribosomal RNA". It matches the Rfam family "Bacterial small subunit ribosomal RNA", at positions 355 to 617 of the family's 1533-position model. The record is from RNAcentral.
UCUAGAAGCUUCGGCAAUGGGGGAAACCCUGACCGAGCGACGCCGCGUGCAGGACGAAGGUCUUCGGAUCGUAAACUGCUUUCGCUGGGGGAGAAAUGCCUCGAGGUGAAUAAUCUCGAGGCUAGACGGUACCCAGUAAAGAAGCUCCGGCUAAGUCCGUGCCAGCAGCCGCGGUAAUACGGGCGGAGCGAGAGUUGUUCGGAUUCAUUGGGUGUAAAGGGUGCGAAGGCGGUCGUCUAAGUCGGAGGUGAAAUGUCUACGGCUUAACCGAG